This 813-nucleotide ribosomal RNA is filed under the name Triticum aestivum (bread wheat). RNAcentral describes it as "partial small subunit ribosomal RNA". Lineage: Eukaryota; Viridiplantae; Streptophyta; Magnoliopsida; Poales; Poaceae. The record is from RNAcentral.
AUGAACAAAGUCGACGGGCAUGGAACCGCACCUGGCGUUAAAACAUACUCAUCGUGCUCAAUCCAUGCAUUAGCUUCUUGCACGUCGACGGCGAGAACAAUGGCGGCAAUGCGGUGGUUGCCAUUUCUCUGCCUCGCGGUUGCUGCCGCUGGCAGCAUGCUACAUCAAGCUCGUGCCCAGGCUGACAGCAAAGGUUUCAUAAGCAUAGACUGCGGAUAUGCGGGGGAGAUGUACAUAGAAAGCGAUACUAGGCAACAGCUGCAGUUCGCCCCGGAUGUCGGCUUCACCACUGCUGGCUCCAACCACGACAUCUCCGUCGAGUACAUGAGCACGGUGGCCUUUAAGCUAUUCAAGACGGUGCGCAGCUUCCCCGAUGGUAAGCGUAACUGCUACAAGAUCCGGUCCCUGGUGCCCGGGCUCAAGUACCUCAUCCGCGCGUGGUUCUUGUAUGGCAACUACGACGGCCUUAACACAACACCCAUCUUUGACCUCUACAUCGGCGCCAACUUCUGGACGACCAUGAACAUGUCACGGGCGGCACCGGACCAGUUUUUAUUCGCGGAGGCCAUGGUGGUCGUGCCGAACGACUACGUGCAUGUCUGCCUGGUGAACACCGGCGCCGGGACGCCGUUCAUCACGGGGCUGGAGCUCAGGCCGCUUAAGAGCAUGCUCUAUCCAGAUGCGAGCGCGAAGCAGGGCCUGAACCUGCACAGCAGGUUUGACCUCGGCACAGGGAGCAAAACACGUGUGAUAAGAUACCCUGAUGACCCACAUGACCGAAUAUGGAGACCAGUGGAUACCACAGCGGAAUAA